AUGUCUCGCUGCUUCCCGUUUCCGCCCCCAGGAUAUGUCAAGACCGCGCGCCCCGACGCCCACCUAGCCUCGCCCCUGCUCGACAAGGAGAAACACAAGGAGAAGAAGCAUAAGAAGGACAAGAAGGACAAAGAUAAAAAAGAAAAGAAGGAUAAAGAAAGGAGUAAAGAUAAGCACAGAGAUAAAAAAGAUCGCAAAGAGAAGCACAAAGACAAGAAAAAGGACAAGAGCAAAGAUAAAAGCAGGGAAUCUGAAGGGACUGACAGACAUGGUGAGGCUCUCCUUGGUCAGAAGUUUGGAGAGAGCAGCAGGAAAUCUGAAGAAAUUAAGGACCCUAUAUUCAGGGAGGAACUGGUUAGAAAGACACAAGAUCAGAAAGGGGUGGAGAAUCGAGCUGUUAACAACUUCACUAUUUCAAAUGAUCGAAGUCGUGAAGGUUUUAGUGCUGCACCUGCACUGGAGAAUGACAGGACCGCAGUUAACAAAAUGCGUAUUCACUCUAUUGAUGCUUCAAGGAGAAGUGAGGGCUUGGGGCAACAGACCAUCACUAUCAAUCAACAGAAAAAUGGGACAUCGAUUCGACGCAGCGAGAACCUCAACAGUUCAUCUCAAGGCGGCUCUGAUGGCUUUAGUACGACACCUAUGGUGGAGAAGGAAAGAGUCAAAGUCACGAGACCUCCCUCCAACUCUACUGAUUCUGUGCCAAGGAAAGAGGGAACGGGGCAGCGUAUCAGUAACAUUAGCAUACUGGUGCAGAAGAGAACUGAGAGCCCAAAUAAAGAGACUGCAAAGAAAGAAAUUGGCACCAGCUCUCCGUUGCUUCGAAGCCCUGCUAAUGCUCUGCACAAGGGAAAUGGUAAGGUUGGUCGUCCGGUGGAUAGCGCACCAACAUCCAUGCAGAGGUUUGAGAGUCCAUCAACAUCUGGCGCAUCAACAGGGAUGGAUAGAAGUCUACCUAGGUCAACUAUCCCAAGCCCAAGCAUUACAAUCCGAAGGCCAAAUGGGAUGGUUCGGCCAACUGAAAACUUUUCCAUUUCUGCUACUAAGCCCAAUGCUGGAGGUGUUUCACCUGCCAUGGGCAAGGAAAAGGGACCAGGUGGAAGAAUGCCACAGAAUACUGUUUCAGCUGAUCAGAAACUGGUUGGUGCUAAGCCCCCAGCUGUGGGCAAGGAAAAGGAACCAGGUGGAAGAGUGCUGCAUCCUUGUGUUUCAACUGAUCAGAAACAGGUUGAUUCUAAAUCCCCAGCUGUGGAGAAAAUUGCAGUUGGAAGAGCUGAAAGGGUGGAAAAGGUCAGAGAUGGGGCAUCUGAUGAUACAAAGAAAGAGGACAAAAAACGUGAGCGGCAUGAGAAAAAGAAGAGGAAAGAGAAACACAAAGAGAAGAAAAAGGAAAAGGAGGCAAAGAAGGAGAAACAGGAACAUAAUCACAAAGAGCAUGAUAAGUUAAGAGAAAACAGUAUAGAUUAUCAGAUAGACAGUCUGAUAGAUAGUCUUGACACGAAGCCCUUAACCCCUCCCUUGGCUCCUCCAGCUGAUGAUGCUAAAGUUAUCCUAGCUGAUGAAAACCUGAAGAAGCGAAAGAACCACGAGAUGAAUGGUUACCUACAAAACCAUCAUGAAAUGCGGCCUACAAAGUUGCCGAGACCAGCCCCCUCCAGCAAUCAUGUGGAGAAUGGUACAGCAUCUCAUGUAGCCGCGCCACCCUCUUCCAUGAAGCCAGAUGCCAUGAAAAUCGAAAAGGCUGAACGGCUCCCUAAGAAGGAAGAGAAGGUCAAUGGCAACAAGGAAGCUCAGCAGCGACCUUCACUCGAUUCAGGGCUUCGAGAUCCUCUCCCUAAUAAGAAGGAAGAGAAGGUCAAUGGCAACAAGGAAGCUCAGCAGCGACCUUUGGUCGAUACAGGGCUUCGAGAUCCUCUCCCUAAGAAGGAAGAGAAGGCCAAUGUCAACAAGGAAGCUCAGCAGCGACCUCAGGUCGUUACAGGGCUUCGAGAUCCUCUCCCUAAGAAGGAAGAGAAGGUGACUGUCAGCAAGGAGGCUCAGCAGCGACCUGCGGUCGUUUCAGGGCUUCGAGAUCCUCUCCCUAAGAAGGAAGAGAAGGUUACUGUCAGCAAGGAGGCUCAGCAGCGACCUGCGGUCGUUUCAGGGCAUCGGGAUCCUGGGGCAUCAUCUGGGAAUGGCGCACCUGCUAGGAAGUCGGCUCACCCGGAUUUCAAGUAUCUGGGGCAGAUAUACAGCAUCCCUGAAGCACCUCAGAUCAUGGAGUGCGACUACGGCGACCAGGACUGGCUGUUCGAUCGAUGUAGCACCCAGCCAGAGAAGCCCAAGAUGGAGACGGAGGCCGACGGAGUGCCCCAAGUGUGGGCUGAGGCUAUGAAAAUCGACCCGGCCGACGUCAUCGCUCUGCCAUACGUCAUUCCUUUCUGA
This 2424-nucleotide ribosomal RNA is filed under the name Triticum aestivum (bread wheat). Its description in RNAcentral is "partial small subunit ribosomal RNA". Lineage: Eukaryota; Viridiplantae; Streptophyta; Magnoliopsida; Poales; Poaceae. The record is from RNAcentral.